RNAcentral lists this ribosomal RNA (533 nucleotides) under uncultured freshwater bacterium. RNAcentral's name for it is "bacterial SSU rRNA". It matches the Rfam family "Bacterial small subunit ribosomal RNA", at positions 887 to 1425 of the family's 1533-position model. The record is from RNAcentral.
CGCAAGGUUGAAACUCAAAGGAAUUGACGGGGACCCGCACAAGCGGUGGAUGAUGUGGUUUAAUUCGAUGCAACGCGGAAAACCUUACCUACCCUUGACAUGCCAGGAACUUCCAGAGAUGGCUUGGUGCUCGAAAGAGAGCCUGGACACAGGUGCUGCAUGGCCGUCGUCAGCUCGUGUCGUGAGAUGUUGGGUUAAGUCCCGCAACGAGCGCAGCCCUUGUCAUUAGUUGCUACGAAGGGGCACUCUAAUGAGACUGCCGGUGACAAACCGGAGGAAGGUGGGGAUGACGUCAGGUCCUCAUGGCCCUUAUGGGUAGGGCUACACACGUCAUACAAUGGCCGGUACAGAGGGCUGCCAACCCGCGAGGGGGAGCCAAUCCCAGAAAACCGGUCGUAGUCCGGAUCGCAGUCUGCAACUCGACUGCGUGAAGGCGGAAUCGCUAGUAAUCGCGGAUCAGCUUGCCGCGGUGAAUACGUUCCCGGGUCUUGUACACACCGCCCGUCACACCAUGGGAGCGGGUUCUGCCAGAA